Malassezia sp. CBS 17886 is the source of this 93-nucleotide non-coding RNA. Lineage: Eukaryota; Fungi; Basidiomycota; Malasseziomycetes; Malasseziales; Malasseziaceae. The record is from the annotation of a GenBank genome assembly.
GGUCCUGUAGGAUAACGGUCAGUCCGAAGGUUUCUGAUGCGGGCUUGGCCUACUGGAAUUCCUUAAGCCGCGGUUCGACUCCGCGCAGGACCU